GGAGGGUGCAAGCGUUAUCCGGAUUCACUGGGUUUAAAGGGUGCGUAGGUGGGUUGGUAAGUCAGUGGUGAAAUCUCCGGGCUUAACUCGGAAACUGCCGUUGAUACUAUCAAUCUUGAAUAUCGUGGAGGUAAGCGGAAUAUGUCAUGUAGCGGUGAAAUGCUUAGAUAUGACAUAGAACACCGAUAGCGAAGGCAGCUUGCUACACGAUCAUUGACACUGAGGCACGAAAGCGUGGGGAUCAAACAGGAUUAGAUACCCUGGUAGUCCACGCCCUAAACGAUGGAUACUCGACAUACGCGAUACACAGUGUGUGUCUGAGCGAAAGCAUUAAGUAUCCCACCUGGGAAGUACGACCGCAAGGUUGAA
This 369-nucleotide ribosomal RNA is filed under the name uncultured bacterium. RNAcentral's name for it is "bacterial SSU rRNA". It matches the Rfam family "Bacterial small subunit ribosomal RNA", at positions 527 to 898 of the family's 1533-position model. The record is from RNAcentral.